CCUACGGGUGGCAGCAGUGGGGAAUAUUGGGCAAUGGGCGCAAGCCUGACCCAGCAACGCCGCGUGAAGGAAGAAGGCUUUCGGGUUGUAAACUUCUUUUAAGGGGGACGAACAAAUGACGGUACCCCUUGAAUAAGCCACGGCUAACUACGUGCCAGCAGCCGCGGUAAUACGUAGGUGGCAAGCGUUAUCCGGAUUUAUUGGGUGUAAAGGGCGUGUAGGCGGGAGCGCAAGUCAGAUGUGAAAAGUCAGGGCUCAACCCUGAGCCUGCAGUUGAAACUGGGUUUCUUGAGUGCUGGAGAGGCAAGCGGAAUGCGGGGUGUAGCGGUGAAAUGCGUAGAUAUACGGAGGAACACCAGUGGCGAAGGCGGAUUGCUGGACAGUAACUGACGCUGAGGCGCGAAAGCGUGGGGAGCGAACAGGAUUAGAUACCCUGGUAGUC
This 442-nucleotide ribosomal RNA is filed under the name uncultured bacterium. RNAcentral describes it as "partial 16S ribosomal RNA". It matches the Rfam family "Bacterial small subunit ribosomal RNA", at positions 338 to 795 of the family's 1533-position model. The record is from RNAcentral.